UACGUAGGGACCAAGCGUUGUUCGGAUUUACUGGGCGUAAAGGGCGCGUAGGCGGCAAAUUAAGUCAUCUGUGAAAUCUCCGAGCUUAACUCGGAACGGUCAGGUGAUACUGAUCUGCUAGAGUGCGGAAGGGGCAAUCGGAAUUCUUGGUGUAGCGGUGAAAUGCGUAGAUAUCAAGAGGAACACCUGAGGUGAAGACGGGUUGCUGGGCCGACACUGACGCUGACAGCGCGAAAGCCAGGGGAGACGAAACGGG
Molecule: ribosomal RNA, 256 nt
Filed under: uncultured bacterium
Lineage: Bacteria
Description: partial 16S ribosomal RNA
Rfam family: Bacterial small subunit ribosomal RNA
Source: RNAcentral